GGUGAACGCUGGCGGCGUGCCUAAUACAUGCAAGUCGAGCGAACGGACGAGAAGCUUGCUUCUCUGAUGUUAGCGGCGGACGGGUGAGUAACACGUGGAUAACCUACCUAUAAGACUGGGAUAACUUCGGGAAACCGGAGCUAAUACCGGAUAAUAUUUUGAACCGCAUGGUUCAAAAGUGAAAGACGGUCUUGCUGUCACUUAUAGAUGGAUCCGCGCUGCAUUAGCUAGUUGGUAAGGUAACGGCUUACCAAGGCAACGAUGCAUAGCCGACCUGAGAGGGUGUUCGGCCAACCUGAAACUGAGACCCGGCCCACGCCCCCACGGGGGGCAGCAGUAGGAAAUCUUCCGAAAGGGGCGAAAGCCUGAGGGAGCAACCCCGGGGGAGUGAUGAAGGUCUUCGGAUCGUAAAACCCUUUUUUUAGGGAAAAACAUAUGUGUAAGUACCGGGGCACCUCUUGACGGUACCUAAUCAAAAACCCCCGGUAAACUCCGG
This 496-nucleotide ribosomal RNA is filed under the name uncultured bacterium. Its description in RNAcentral is "partial 16S ribosomal RNA". It matches the Rfam family "Bacterial small subunit ribosomal RNA", at positions 28 to 506 of the family's 1533-position model. The record is from RNAcentral.